This 86-nucleotide transfer RNA is filed under the name Paludisphaera borealis. It matches the Rfam family "tRNA". From Rfam's summary of the family: Transfer RNA (tRNA) molecules are approximately 80 nucleotides in length. Their secondary structure includes four short double-helical elements and three loops (D, anti-codon, and T loops). Further hydrogen bonds mediate the characteristic L-shaped molecular structure. tRNAs have two regions of fundamental functional importance: the anti-codon, which is responsible for specific mRNA codon recognition, and the 3' end, to which the tRNAs corresponding amino acid is attached (by aminoacyl-tRNA synthetases). tRNAs cope with the degeneracy of the genetic code in two manners: having more than one tRNA (with a specific anti-codon) for a particular amino acid; and 'wobble' base-pairing, i.e. permitting non-standard base-pairing at the 3rd anti-codon position. The record is from Rfam by way of RNAcentral. Lineage: Bacteria; Pseudomonadati; Planctomycetota; Planctomycetia; Isosphaerales; Isosphaeraceae.
GCCGGAGUGGUGGAAUUGGCAGACACGCUAGCUUGAGGGGCUAGUCCGCUUCACGGCGGGUGCAGGUUCAAGUCCUGUCUCCGGCA